UUAAUUGAACAUGUUCAUCCUGGAGAGAUAAUUCAAAUUAUAUUUACUUUACCAAUACUAAGAAGUGCUGGGUAAAGAAGCAGAGCAAACAGUAGCAGGUCUGAGAACUGCCAAGGAUACCAGUGAGCCCUGAAUGAAAUCGGUCUAUUUGACACUCUUGGCUACAUCCCUCAAAAGACAGACACAAUCUGUGAUCACUUACAAGACACCGCAGAUUUCAAGAGCACAGCAAUACUGGCAGAAAAUAGAGAAGAGAAAAUGGCCACAGCACAAGGGUGUUCUUACUCUGUCUUGAACUCAUUCUGCGGUUCCAAGAUCUUGCAGAUUAAUAACAGAAGACACAGCAGUAGAUUCAAUUUUCUGUCAAAUGAGCUGACACCUUGUCGGGAAUAAAGUUGCCGAAAUACCAAUGGACCAGAAGAG
Long non-coding RNA from Lacerta agilis (Sand lizard), 423 nucleotides. RefSeq lists it as uncharacterized. The record is from RefSeq and is a predicted model, not a curated record. Lineage: Eukaryota; Metazoa; Chordata; Lepidosauria; Squamata; Lacertidae. The transcript is spliced from 4 exons.